UGAGGUUUAGCUCAGGGCUAGAGCACUUACCCAGUAUGCGCAAGGCUCUAGGUUCGAUCCCCAGUACCUCAA
This 72-nucleotide transfer RNA is filed under the name Neotoma lepida (desert woodrat). It matches the Rfam family "tRNA". Rfam says of the family: Transfer RNA (tRNA) molecules are approximately 80 nucleotides in length. Their secondary structure includes four short double-helical elements and three loops (D, anti-codon, and T loops). The record is from Rfam by way of RNAcentral. Lineage: Eukaryota; Metazoa; Chordata; Mammalia; Rodentia; Cricetidae.